Penaeus vannamei (Pacific white shrimp) is the source of this 964-nucleotide long non-coding RNA. RefSeq lists it as uncharacterized. The record is from RefSeq and is a predicted model, not a curated record. NCBI's taxonomy places the organism in Eukaryota, Metazoa, Arthropoda, Malacostraca, Decapoda, Penaeidae.
CCAUCAACUUAGUUUGUUUACGUUCCGAAACGUUGUCAAACGUGAGCGGCGCUGCUUACUGUAUUUUACAUUGGCAUUUAGCAGUCUCAGUCAUGGACACUAUUCUAGAACAACAGAGACGCUAUCAUGAGGAGAGAGAACGGCUUAUGGCAGCCAUGGUGAAGGAAUGCUUACAUAAAAAGAGUUCCUAUUGCGUUGGAGAAAUGGAUUAACGAGUGAGACGCACCCCGCAGUCGGAGCGCGAACCCUGAUACUGUGUCACACUGGCAGGACGCCCGGCAAUGUUUAUUUUUUCGGGUAUCUUUUUCUUUAACUAAAAUUGCAUCUGGGAGAGUUGAUGAAGACUACAAAGGUAGUUUCAAAAUAUCGGCAUUUUUGUGUUUACAUACAUUUUCAUAGCUGUUUUGGUAUUAACAAAACAAGGUAUAAGAUUAGUCUUCCUACACCAUAAUCCUCUAUCAUCUACCUACACUCCGAAGUUUUGUGGACACUGCCAGCACGUAACAGUUUUUCUAAAUCUUAUGUAUAGUGUAGGAGGGUGGCAGAGAUUUCAUGGGUUUAUAGGUCUACAUGGACCAUUCUUUUAAAUUUCUCAAAAAAAAAAAAAAAAUAAUAAUAAUAAUCAUACAGCCAUUCUGAUUGCAUGUCUAUGUAAGACAAUCUUUCUAUUAUAAUAUGCAGAAGCCACUUUUGGUUUCUAUAGGCCUACGUUGACCGUUUAAAAAAAAAAUCUCAAAAAUCCAUGUCUGUAUAGAACAAUCUUUCUCCUAUAAUAUGCAGAGACUUUUGAGAAGUUGACCUUACUUUUUUUUGGGGGGUGUGAAUAUUUUUCAAAGGUGACUGUCAAAACACCCUAAUAUGAGAUUUUGAAAAUAUAUGUCACUUUUAUAAGAAGCACAUGAAAUUAUAGGAAUCCCUUAUUGCACCAUGUAAUAGAUGUAAUAAAAAUGUGGACCAAAACAUC